CCAUGAAUCCAGGCAGUGACGCAGAGCACAGACCUGCGAGCGUGCCCAAGCUGGCCUGGGGGAAGGAGGAGAAAGAAGGCCCUGGAGCUGCCCCAGCACAGCAGCCUGAAGAGGUGGAGCAGUUCCAGCCACUGCAGAAGGGUGCAGCCGUGCAGCACACACGAGAGCAGGAACGCACCCGUGGCCGCUUCCGCAGAACAGCGCAGAUGGUUUGCAAAUUCAUGAAGAGGAUUCAGGAGGAAGAGAGCAGCGUCGUGGGCACUGUGGUCAGAGCGUACUCUCCCAUCUUCAAAACCAAGACCAGUGCUGCCCUGCUGGAUAUGCUUGUGGAGGAGGGUCCUUCCAGCCCAAAGCAAGUGAGCAGCCUGUGGCCUGGCUUUUCUCCUCCCAGCAGUUGCGUGGCCUCCCAAGCCACGCCUGCUGCUCCCUGGAAGCCUUUGAGGCCAUGGCAGUGUGGUGGCAAGGGAAGCACUUCUCUGGGGCAGCUGGGCACAUUCCUUCCUCUGGCAGCUUUCCAAGUCUCCCCUGCCUUCUCCAGGUGCCCACCAUGGUGAGGUACAUCCACCAGUGGCUGGUGGCCAAUGAGUUUCCUGAGUACAAUCUGUACAGGCCCCUUCUGGAUCUGACAGAGGCACAGCCCUCUGACGUGGUGAUGGCUCUCCUGCGUGUGGCCCCAGUGUGUGACAGGUACGGGGCCCACGUGUCCACAAGGCUCAGCAGCCCUUCACCCUGUACAGCCUGUCCCAGGUGUCUGACCAACAGAGAAUUCCAGGGCCCUCUGGCUGCUCCCUUUGC
This 795-nucleotide long non-coding RNA is filed under the name Taeniopygia guttata (zebra finch). RNAcentral describes it as "lncRNA (ENSTGUG00000021716.1)". Lineage: Eukaryota; Metazoa; Chordata; Aves; Passeriformes; Estrildidae. The record is from RNAcentral.